Long non-coding RNA from Juglans regia (Persian walnut), 1160 nucleotides. RefSeq lists it as uncharacterized. The record is from RefSeq and is a predicted model, not a curated record. Lineage: Eukaryota; Viridiplantae; Streptophyta; Magnoliopsida; Fagales; Juglandaceae. The transcript is spliced from 3 exons.
AUAAAAAAAUAAAAAUAAAAAUACUUAUCGUAAGCUGAAUCAUGAUCUAUUCUUGAUGGUUUUCCUCUAACAAUAAAUCAAGCUGUGAGCAAUUUCCUUGUGGUCAAGAGAGAUUGUUAUGCCUUACAAUCUAUUAAAUAUUAAGUUUUCUUCACUGAAGUGAAAAGGAAUGGAUUUUUUAAACUGGGAAGAUUAUGACCCUGAUCAUCUUCUUGUAUUUCAAUCGAAAGAGAAGAAAAAGGUGUUGUGGUAGUAUGGGACAACAGAAUUUUGCUUGCUACUACGAAGCCUAGAUGUUCUCUAUUUUUGCUGCAACUCAUCUAAUACCAAUCAAGGAACAUCCCCAUGUCAAAGAUACCCUUCCAAAACCCAAGGGUUAGUAGGCCUGGGUUUCAAUUUUUUUUUCCUUCUAACAAUGUUUAUUUCCCAAUUUGUCUAGAUAAUAGUACUCUUAAUCUAAUUUUCCCAAUCGUUAAAUACACCAGUCACCAAGGACUACUUUUGUUCUCUUUGAUUCUCUUUUGGGCAGAUAAUAUCUUUCUCUAAUGUUUUUCUCCAACCCAAAUUAGGUGACCAACCAGUAUUACAUUAAUGUCACUUUCUCUCUCUGUCUAGUAGUAAGAAAAUAUCAUAUUCUCUCUAGUACUCAUGCCCUUUAUGAUAUGUGCUCAGAUUUGGCUUGAUUGUUUGUGUUCUCAGGAAAUAUUGGAACAGGCUAUUGGCAUUGACUUGGUUGUCAAUCUAAAGCUCCAGGAAGAUGUAUUGCCUAAGAAAUGUCCUCAAAGAAGAAUUUGCAGUGAGUUUGGGAAAUUUCAAUAUGGCCUCCACUAACAUCAAGGGUGGAAAUUGGAAUCCUGGUAUUAGCUGGCUCCACUUAUUCCCCAGCCACAUUGUAUGUUGAAUCUCAUUCUUGGUCAGAUGAUACUGAAGCCGUAGUAAAAGAACAGAGUCAGCUGUGGAGGACUUUUAUCGUAGUCAAGGAAAAUUAUAGGAGUUUCACCUGCCAAGAGAGUUCCCAGAAUCCUGGCCAAAAUUGCUGGAAGCUCUCGAUCUUAAUGACAAUGAAGAGAAGCAGUCUGCUGCACCACUGCAACAUAAGCUAUUUUACUGUACCUUUGAAGCUGACCGAGCUGGUUGACUCGAGUAUUGCCAAGCUGCAG